Molecule: non-coding RNA, 1432 nt
Organism: Salmo salar (Atlantic salmon)
Lineage: Eukaryota; Metazoa; Chordata; Actinopteri; Salmoniformes; Salmonidae
Source: RefSeq, a predicted model, not a curated record
GGGACCGACAAGGACACAGGACACAGCGAUGACCGUGACAACCCACAUCCUGGCCCAGACACAGCAGACAGAUAUAGAAGGCAUUUAUUCAUCUAGAACAAACCACCGUCAACAUCACAACAGACAGAGCUCGAGGAGAUUGAUCAAACUUUUCUAUUGUGACUCAAAAUAACCUAAAGCCAGUGUUUCUAGUCUGUCUUCAGAAAAGGAAUCAGUCACGACCCACCAUUUGAGAAACACUGACCUAAGACGGCUGCUGCCAAUCAUUGAGGCUAGCCCACUCCUUCAGAAGCUCUUCGGGGACUUCUGGCUGUACUCUGCUGCAGGGAUGCAAACUGGUGAGGCCCCAAAAAGGCUAGAGUACAUGAGGUGAUGUUCCGGUACUUUGAGGACAAAGCCAUCCAGAAGGACAAAUCAGGUUCGAUGAGGGUGUGAUCUGUGUUGCUGAUAAUCUUCAAUGUCUUCCUCAAAAUUAUGGCUGAAAAGAAAACACACACACAAACGGUAUUGAACAUUAUUUGCCAAUAUCGUAACUGGAACUGGAAAUCCUUCGAGCUGAAGAUUGAGGCCAGCUUUUGUACGCUAGCGUACACUCCUUAACAGUUUCACUGGAUGAAAACACAGCAAGAAAACACAUAGGGAUAUAUAUUGGAAUGUCCACAGUGCAAGGUGUUCUACAUUGGACGGAUAAAGAGACACCUUCAAGACUACUUAGCGGAACACAAGUACGCCAUAAGGGAAGGAAAUGAAGACAACCCCAUGGCAAUGCACUACAAGUCCUUACACCAUGGCAACCCUACAAGCAAUGGGUAUUGAUCAUGUUCCGGCCUCAAUUAUAAAAGGGGACCGUCUUAAACGGCUAAACCAAAGGGAAAGUUUUGAAAUUUACUAACUACAGGCCACUAAGUACCCUAGUUUAAAUGAUGAUAUGGAUUUCUCACCUUUUCUGUAGGGUCGUGAUAGGUCCAUUUGCUGUCAUCUAGUGGACAUUUUGCUCUAUUGCCCUCAGUUAUGUUUAGACUGUUGUUGUCCAUGUUUGCUGUGUUCUAGUGCACUAUGGAAAAUAUUGCUUCCUUUUCUUGGCACUUUGCACAGUCAUAUUUAAUGUUAGAACUACCUUUAUAGGCGUUCUGAUUCUUCUAGCAUGGAGUAAAUUUUUUUUAUAACAUAUUUACAGUAUUUCACUUUUUAAUGUGUAUAGUAUUGCUUAGUAGGUGUUGUCCAAUCAAUUCAGUAACCACUCCCUCUUCUAAUUAGGGCUGAUUGGAAAAAGCUGUUCCAAAGAGGACAAUGUACACUGCUCAAAAAAAUAAAGGGAACACUUAAACCACACAUCCUAGAUCUGAAUGACAGAAAUAAUCUUAUUAAAUACUUUUUUCUUUACAUAGUUGAAUGUGCUGACAACAGAAUCACACAAAAAUAAUCAAUGGAA